AAUUGGUUUCUUACUUUAUAUAUUUAUAUUUAUUUUAGAAGUAUCUAUUUUUUUAGUAUACUAAAGAAAAAUUUUUGUUUGUUAUAGUAAAUUAGUACUGUGAAGGAUUGAUGAAAUAAUUUAAAAUUUAAUUUAUUUAAAGUAUGUUUAAUUUGCAGUACCUUUUGUAUCAGGGUUAAUUAAAUAAAAAAAUUUAUUUUUCUAUCUCGAUUUUAAAAGAGCUAACUGUUUAUUUUAGUUAAUGUGCAUAAUUAUUAAAAAUAACUUUUAGAGGAGAAAUUUUAUACGCUUUUAAGGGUAUCUAGUUUUUUAAGAAUUAAAUUUAAUUUAUUUUCUUUAAUUAACUUUUAUAUUAUUUUAUUUAGUUAUUUAUUGAAUUAAAAUUUAUAGGGGAUAAGCUCUAUAUAUUUCUAUAAACUGAUUAUUUAAUUGACUAAUGUAGGCUUAUAAAUAGCCAUCAUUAAUAAACAUGUUAUAAUUUAUUUUUAAUUUWAACGUAAUUUUUUUAGUUUUAGAAUCUUAUUAAAAUACCAGAAUUAAUAGUUAAUUUUGGGUAAUAAUGAUUAAAUUAGUAUAAAAUUUGUCUAUAUAUUUAUUAUAUUGAUGAUAAAAUAAGUAACUCGGCAAAUAUGAUUCUCGCCUGUUUAACAAAAACAUGUCCUUUUGAAUUUAAUAUAAGGUCUGACCUGCCCAGUGAUUGUAUUUAACGGCCGCGGUAUAUUGACCGUGCAAAGGUAGCAUAAUCAUUAGUCUUUUAAUAGAGGGCUGGAAUGAAAGGMUUAACGAGGAAUCGACUGUCUCAUUUUAUUUGUAUUAAAAUUUAAUUUUUUGGUCAAAAAGUUAAAAUUUUAUUGGAAGACGAGAAGACCCUAUAGAUCUUUAUAUGUAAUUUCUGAUUUAUUAUUAAAAAAAAAUUUUUAUUAAUNANAAAUUUUGGUGGGGUGACAAAAAUAUAUAAUUAACUUUUUUAUAGAUUAAACAUUGAUUUAUGAUUAUUGGAUCCAUUAUUAGUGAUUGUUAGAAUAAGUUACCUUAGGGAUAACAGCGUAAUCCUUCUCCAGAGUUCAUAUUUACAGAAGGGCUUGCGACCUCGAUGUUGGAUUAAGAUAAUAAUUAGGUGUAGCCGCUUAAUAUAUAGGUCUGUUCG
This 1147-nucleotide ribosomal RNA is filed under the name Rhodothemis rufa. Its description in RNAcentral is "partial 16S ribosomal RNA". Lineage: Eukaryota; Metazoa; Arthropoda; Insecta; Odonata; Libellulidae. The record is from RNAcentral.